RNAcentral lists this ribosomal RNA (228 nucleotides) under uncultured bacterium. RNAcentral's name for it is "partial 16S ribosomal RNA". It matches the Rfam family "Bacterial small subunit ribosomal RNA", at positions 524 to 750 of the family's 1533-position model. The record is from RNAcentral.
UACGAAGGGGGCUAGCGUUGCUCGGAAUCACUGGGCGUAAAGGGUGCGUAGGCGGGUCUUUAAGUCAGGGGUGAAAUCCUGGAGCUCAACUCCAGAACUGCCUUUGAUACUGAAGAUCUUGAAGUUCGGGAGAGGUGAGUGGAACUGCGAGUGUAGAGGUGAAAUUCGUAGAUAUUCGCAAGAACACCAGUGGCGAAGGCGGCUCACUGGCCCGAUACUGACGCUGAG